RNAcentral lists this ribosomal RNA (987 nucleotides) under Pediococcus pentosaceus. Its description in RNAcentral is "bacterial SSU rRNA". It matches the Rfam family "Bacterial small subunit ribosomal RNA", at positions 87 to 1061 of the family's 1533-position model. The record is from RNAcentral. Lineage: Bacteria; Bacillati; Bacillota; Bacilli; Lactobacillales; Lactobacillaceae.
CGGAGUGAGUGGCGAACGGGUGAGUAACACGUGGGUAACCUGCCCAGAAGUAGGGGAUAACACCUGGAAACAGAUGCUAAUACCGUAUAACAGAGAAAACCGCAUGGUUUUCUUUUAAAAGAUGGCUCUGCUAUCACUUCUGGAUGGACCCGCGGCGUAUUAGCUAGUUGGUGAGGUAAAGGCUCACCAAGGCAGUGAUACGUAGCCGACCUGAGAGGGUAAUCGGCCACAUUGGGACUGAGACACGGCCCAGACUCCUACGGGAGGCAGCAGUAGGGAAUCUUCCACAAUGGACGCAAGUCUGAUGGAGCAACGCCGCGUGAGUGAAGAAGGGUUUCGGCUCGUAAAGCUCUGUUGUUAAAGAAGAACGUGGGUAAGAGUAACUGUUUACCCAGUGACGGUAUUUAACCAGAAAGCCACGGCUAACUACGUGCCAGCAGCCGCGGUAAUACGUAGGUGGCAAGCGUUAUCCGGAUUUAUUGGGCGUAAAGCGAGCGCAGGCGGUCUUUUAAGUCUAAUGUGAAAGCCUUCGGCUCAACCGAAGAAGUGCAUUGGAAACUGGGAGACUUGAGUGCAGAAGAGGACAGUGGAACUCCAUGUGUAGCGGUGAAAUGCGUAGAUAUAUGGAAGAACACCAGUGGCGAAGGCGGCUGUCUGGUCUGCAACUGACGCUGAGGCUCGAAAGCAUGGGUAGCGAACAGGAUUAGAUACCCUGGUAGUCCAUGCCGUAAACGAUGAUUACUAAGUGUUGGAGGGUUUCCGCCCUUCAGUGCUGCAGCUAACGCAUUAAGUAAUCCGCCUGGGGAGUACGACCGCAAGGUUGAAACUCAAAAGAAUUGACGGGGGCCCGCACAAGCGGUGGAGCAUGUGGUUUAAUUCGAAGCUACGCGAAGAACCUUACCAGGUCUUGACAUCUUCUGACAGUCUAAGAGAUUAGAGGUUCCCUUCGGGGACAGAAUGACAGGUGGUGCAUGGUGUCGUCAGCUC